AUAUAACGACUGGAUUAUUCGGGUUACGUUUUGGUUUGUUUUUUGUUUUGACAACGUGUUCUACAAACUUUUUAACCAAGAAAUCAUCAAUCAUAAUCAUUUCAAUGACUUUAAAGGAUUCUGAUUGACUGGUGGCAGAAAGGGUAUGAAUAUAAAGUGGCAUUAAGGCCUUGCAGAAAGGCUUAACAGUAACAUGCUGAAGUUGCAAUAACAGUUUGACGAAGACCCACAUGUAAUCCCAUAUUGACGGUUGUAGAACUCGUACCAACAGAUUUCACUUUGGGAUAUAAUGGCAAGUUGGGAUGAGAAACUUCGUACAGCUGCAACUGAGGGGAAUAUAAAAGAGGUAGAAAUAUGUAUAAAGAACACAGCUAACUUGGAAUGUAGAGAUGGGUUUG
Long non-coding RNA from Mytilus trossulus (common blue mussel), 398 nucleotides. RefSeq lists it as uncharacterized. The transcript is spliced from 4 exons. Lineage: Eukaryota; Metazoa; Mollusca; Bivalvia; Mytilida; Mytilidae. The record is from RefSeq and is a predicted model, not a curated record.